This 502-nucleotide ribosomal RNA is filed under the name uncultured bacterium. Its description in RNAcentral is "partial 16S ribosomal RNA". It matches the Rfam family "Bacterial small subunit ribosomal RNA", at positions 28 to 507 of the family's 1533-position model. The record is from RNAcentral.
GACGAACGCUGGCGGCGUGCCUAAUACAUGCAAGUCGAACGAACCGCGACUAAGUGCUUGCACUAAGUCAAGGUGAGUGGCGAACGGGUGAGUAACACGUGGGUAACCUACCUCAUAGUGGGGGAUAACAGUCGGAAACGACUGCUAAUACCGCAUAGGACAUAGGAUCACAUGAUCCAGUGAGGAAAGGUGGCGCAAGCUAUCGCUAAGAGAUGGACCCGCGGUGCAUUAGCUAGUUGGUAGGGUAAAGGCCUACCAAGGCGAUGAUGCAUAGCCGACCUGAGAGGGUGAUCGGCCACAUUGGGACUGAGACACGGCCCAAACUCCUACGGGAGGCAGCAGUAGGGAAUCUUCCGCAAUGGACGCAAGUCUGACGGAGCAACGCCGCGUGAGUGAAGAAGGUCUUCGGAUCGUAAAGCUCUGUUGUUAGAGAAGAACAGCGCAUAGAGUAACUGCUAUGCGUGUGACGGUAUCUAACUAGAAAGCCACGGCUAACUACGUG